GACAGAGGGUGCAAACGUUGUUCGGAAUUACUGGGCGUAAAGCGCGUGUAGGCGGUGCGGUAAGUCGGGUGUGAAAGCCCUGGGCUCAACCCAGGAAGUGCAUUCGAUACUACCGUACUAGAGUCCCGGAGAGGUUGGUGGAACUCUCGGUGUGGAGGUGAAAUUCGUAGAUAUCGAGAAGAACACCGGUGGCGAAGGCGGCCAACUGGACGGUGACUGACGCUGAGACGCGAAAGCGUGGGGAGCAAACAGG
Molecule: ribosomal RNA, 253 nt
Filed under: uncultured bacterium
Lineage: Bacteria
Description: partial 16S ribosomal RNA
Rfam family: Bacterial small subunit ribosomal RNA
Source: RNAcentral